Molecule: ribosomal RNA, 253 nt
Filed under: uncultured bacterium
Lineage: Bacteria
Description: partial 16S ribosomal RNA
Rfam family: Bacterial small subunit ribosomal RNA
Source: RNAcentral
GACGAACCGAGCGAACGUUGUUCGGAAUCACUGGGCUUAAAGGGCGCGUAGGCGGGCUGUCAAGUCUGGGGUGAAAUCCCACGGCUCAACCGUGGAACUGCCUUAGAUACUGACGGCCUCGAGGGAGAUAGGGGCGAGCGGAACUGUGAGUGGAGCGGUGAAAUGCGUUGAUAUUCACAGGAACUCCGGUGGCGAAGGCGGCUCGCUGGAUCUUUUCUGGCGCUGAGGCGCGAAAGCUAGGGGAGCAAACGGG